Molecule: long non-coding RNA, 2028 nt
Filed under: Equus asinus (donkey)
Lineage: Eukaryota; Metazoa; Chordata; Mammalia; Perissodactyla; Equidae
Description: lncRNA (ENSEASG00005028643.1)
Source: RNAcentral
UUUCUUUUUCUUUUACAUUCAUUAGCCAUCAGAGAUAACAUUUAUCAAGUUUCUACAGGUUUUAAUUCGUUUUGCAAUCACAUAACCCCAGGAAACAGAGACCAUCCCCACUUUACAGAAGAGGGGCUUGGAGACCCAGAGAGGUUUAAAUCACUUUGCUAAGGUCACACAGCUGGAAGUCUGCAGUGGACCCAAGGUGGUCGAACUCCAGGACCGCCUUGACCACUACAUUAAGUGGCUCCGUAUGGCUACAUUUUUUUUCCCACGUUGUUAAAGAGUGACUAAUGCUGCCUGCCAUCUGUUACCAAGUCCGGUGGCUUUUCCUUCAGCUCCCUCCCGGAAUUGCAGCGCUCCGAACGCCCAUCCCCCCGCCAGAAGCACUUCCUGGCUCAAGCUAUGGCACCCACAGCUGCCACUGAGGCACCAACCAUCUCUGGGCUUCUGGGCCCCAGCACUGCAGGUUCCAACGGCGGAGAAUUCCGUAUGGAGGCUCUUCUUUGUCCUCUGUGCUCACCUGCACACUGCGUGGCCAUAGCUCCCAGCGUGCUCCGCCUCAGACCUCUCCUCCUUCAAAACCCCCAUCCCACCUUCUGUCUCACAUCAGAGCCGACUCUGAAGCCGUUGCCUGUGCCUGGAAUGCUCUCACCCCUCUCACGAAUUCUCUCCCUUUUUGGUACACAGACAGCUUCUGAAACUCCUAUUGGUCCGUGGAAUUUUUCUCUGCUGAUACAGGAGCAAGAGCUGUUCUCCACUUUGCCGAUUCAGAGUAGCUCCUGGAGUCCAGCCUGGCUGAGGCUUGGGGUCCACCACUUACUAGCCCUAUAAACUUGGGCAGGUUUCUAAGUCUCAAUACCUCCUCAUUGGCAUGGGAUAUUCAUACCUGCAGUCAAAGGAUUGUUAUGAGAUUUAAAUAACAUAAUCCAUGAAACGCUCCUAGCACAGAGCUGGCACAAAAGGUGGAAUCGAUAAAGAGAAAAAGAAGAAGGAAAUGUGGUAGCCAUGAAAAUGUGCCUCUUAGGCCGGAUCCAGUGAGCAUAGUUGACAUACAGCCCCUGCUGCUGGCCCUCUGCACCCACCACCACAUCACGCCGAGGCCUCACUUUCCUGAGCCCAGAGAGCCACUGCACAGGUCCGUUCCUGCAGCAUGCAGGCUCCUCCAUCAGGCAUUAGGUCUGAUGGCUCACCCUCCCUGCUCCUGCUCCCUCCCUUUAUCCUUCACAGGUCCAAGAAAAUGGAUGAGGUUUUGGGACUGACUCCCUCACUGCCCAAGAGGCAAAGAGGAUGGUCACAUCUGUACCACUUACAAAGUAUGUGAUCACAUAGGUGAUGUCGUCUAAUUAUCACAGCAGCCCUGUGGGGUGUGUUAACUGGAGCUCAGCAGUCUACCUGAACCGUGGGGCACACCGAGGGAGGAUGCUGCAGUGAGUUGCAAGGGUCCCCAAUGGCUGCGUGGAGCCACCCCCUUGCCUGAACUGCUGCCCUCCAGACUUCCACCCUGUGAGGAGGAAUCAUGCUGAAGGGUUGAAUCUGGACUUUGCUCGGACAGGAUCCGGUCCAGAUGAGGACAUGGCAGCCUCUGGGGAGAGCAGCAUCUACGCCUACUCCUUGACUGAUAGACUAGUGCAGGUGCCUGCCUGGAGGCGUGCUUCUCAAUCUACCCAUGGGGAAGGACCAGCUUUCAAAGGUCCAACCUGUCGUGGGCUGAUACUUUAGUAAAAUACAAUUAAAAUGAAAUUUUAAAAAAGACAUGAAUCUCAUAUUUUUAAUUAUUAGAUUGAACAGACAUAAAAUAACUCUGUCAAAUGGCUAUAAAAUUUCUCAUCACAGUUGCUCUCAGGUUCUGUACUUGCCUCAUUGAGGACUGGUAACAAUCCACAGACCAGCACUGGUCUGUUGACCACACUUUGGGUAGUAUGGACCUUUUAACCUAUACCCAAAAGGAAUAUUAUAUGUGUGGCAUGUAUAUUUAUAAAAAUGUUUAGAUAGAUUAAGUAACUCUGUAUUAGAAAAUUUUUAUUUUGAACAAUC